This 253-nucleotide ribosomal RNA is filed under the name uncultured bacterium. RNAcentral describes it as "partial 16S ribosomal RNA". It matches the Rfam family "Bacterial small subunit ribosomal RNA", at positions 524 to 776 of the family's 1533-position model. The record is from RNAcentral.
UACGUAGGGUCCGAGCGUUGUCCGGAAUUAUUGGGCGUAAAGAGCUCGUAGGCGGUUUGUCGCGUCUGCUGUGAAAUCCCGAGGCUCAACCUCGGGCCUGCAGUGGGUACGGGCAGACUGGAGUGCGGUAGGGGAGAAUGGAAUCCCUGGUGUAGCGGUGGAAUGCGCAGAUAUCAGGAGGAACACCGAUGGCGAAGGCAGUUCUCUGGGCCGUAACUGACGCUGAGGAGCGAAAGCGUGGGGAGCGAACAGG